This 314-nucleotide unclassified non-coding RNA is filed under the name plant metagenome. RNAcentral describes it as "partial contains 5.8S ribosomal RNA, internal transcribed spacer 2, and large subunit ribosomal RNA". The stretch from base 1 to 105 matches the Rfam family "5.8S ribosomal RNA", at positions 50 to 154 of the family's 154-position model. The record is from RNAcentral.
GAAAUGCGAUAAUUAAUGUGAAUUGCAGAAUUCAGUGAAUCAUCGAGUCUUUGAACGCACAUUGCGCCCCCUGGUAUUCCGGGGGGCAUGCCUGUCCGAGCGUCAUUGCUGUCCUCAAGCACGGCUUGUGUGUUGGGCUUCCGUCCCUGGCAACGGGGACGGGCCCAAAAGGCAGUGGCGGCACCAUGUCUGGUCCUCGAGCGUAUGGGGCUUUGUCACCCGCUCCCGUAGGUCCAGCUGGCAGCUAGCCUCGCAACCAAUCUUUUUAACCAGGUUGACCUCGGAUCAGGUAGGGAUACCCGCUGAACUUAAGC